GACGAACGCUGGCGGCGUGCUUAACACAUGCAAGUCGAACGGAAAGGCCCUGCUUUUGUGGGGUGCUCGAGUGGCGAACGGGUGAGUAACACGUGAGUAACCUGCCCUUGACUUUGGGAUAACUUCAGGAAACUGGGGCUAAUACCGGCUAGGAGCUCCUGCUGCAUGGUGGGGGUUGGAAAGUUUCGGCGGUUGGGGAUGGACUCGCGGCUUACCAGCUUGUUGGUGGGGUAGUGGCUUACCAAGGCUUUGACGGGUAGCCGGCCUGAGAGGGUGACCGGCCACAUUGGGACUGAGAUACGGCCCAGACUCCUACGGGAGGCAGCAGUGGGGAAUAUUGCACAAUGGGCGGAAGCCUGAUGCAGCAACGCCGCGUGCGGGAUGACGGCCUUCGGGUUGUAAACCGCUUUCGCCUGUGACGAAGCGUGAGUGACGGUAAUGGGUAAAGAAGCACCGGCUAACUACGUG
This 468-nucleotide ribosomal RNA is filed under the name uncultured bacterium. RNAcentral describes it as "partial 16S ribosomal RNA". It matches the Rfam family "Bacterial small subunit ribosomal RNA", at positions 28 to 507 of the family's 1533-position model. The record is from RNAcentral.